This 123-nucleotide non-coding RNA is filed under the name Microbispora sp. ATCC PTA-5024. RNAcentral describes it as "TPP riboswitch aptamer (THI element)". It matches the Rfam family "TPP riboswitch aptamer (THI element)". From Rfam's summary of the family: Vitamin B(1) in its active form thiamin pyrophosphate (TPP) is an essential coenzyme that is synthesised by coupling of pyrimidine and thiazole moieties in bacteria. The previously detected thiamin-regulatory element, thi box was extended, resulting in a new, highly conserved RNA secondary structure, the THI element, which is widely distributed in eubacteria and also occurs in some archaea. The record is from Rfam by way of RNAcentral. Lineage: Bacteria; Bacillati; Actinomycetota; Actinomycetes; Streptosporangiales; Streptosporangiaceae. RNAcentral also lists the same sequence under 1 other name.
UCCGAAAAGCGCGGGAGCUCGGGCGAGACCGGGCUGAGAGGGCGGAUUCUCCGACGAGACGUGCCGCCGACCGCAUGAACCUGUCCGGAUAAUGCCGGCGUAGGGAGCGUGUGAUGACAUCGG